Long non-coding RNA from Glycine soja, 434 nucleotides. RefSeq lists it as uncharacterized. The record is from RefSeq and is a predicted model, not a curated record. The transcript is spliced from 4 exons. Lineage: Eukaryota; Viridiplantae; Streptophyta; Magnoliopsida; Fabales; Fabaceae.
CAGAAAAUAAUAGCACUGAUUUGUACACUUCAAUCGCUCAACUCAACAAUCAUUGGACACAGCUUCGCGCUCAUACUUGCUUCGUUGUCAGGGUUUGUUAAGUAUUUGUCUGCAAUAUCACUGGGCUGCUUAUGACAAUUCAGGUGAAUCACUAAAUACUGCGGAUCAUGCUACAUUUGACAACCAUACAUCAUAUAUGGGAAGUAUAAAUGGACCCAAGUUACCUCUGGUGUUUGAAGUGCAGCAGAUGCCACAUGAUUUAACUACAGAAGGAUGUCCAAAGAACAAUUUUCAAAACAGUUGUAUAUUCAAUAAGGCUCCAAUUUCAGCAAUCAUGAAUACGAAAACAUACGAGGAAGAUACCUGUGUCGACAAGUCAAAUCCUCAGCAUGAAAGUUUUAUCAAGAGAUACAGCAUCAAGUUGGCAUCCACAA